Small nuclear RNA from Tetranychus urticae (two-spotted spider mite), 142 nucleotides. It matches the Rfam family "U4 spliceosomal RNA". From Rfam's summary of the family: U4 small nuclear RNA (U4 snRNA) is a component of the major U2-dependent spliceosome. The structure of U4 snRNA from yeast and human has been reported. Lineage: Eukaryota; Metazoa; Arthropoda; Arachnida; Trombidiformes; Tetranychidae. The record is from Rfam.
AGCUUUGCGCAGAGGCAGUACCUCAGGCUAUGAAGGAUUUCCUGAGCCGAGGUUAUUGCUGGUUGAAAACUUUUCCCAAUACCCCGCCAUGACGACGUGAAAUACCGUCGGCUUUGGCAAUUUUUGGAAGCCCUAACCGGGC